RNAcentral lists this ribosomal RNA (253 nucleotides) under uncultured Clostridium sp. RNAcentral describes it as "partial 16S ribosomal RNA". It matches the Rfam family "Bacterial small subunit ribosomal RNA", at positions 524 to 776 of the family's 1533-position model. The record is from RNAcentral. RNAcentral also lists the same sequence under 1 other name. Lineage: Bacteria; Bacillati; Bacillota; Clostridia; Eubacteriales; Clostridiaceae.
UACGUAGGUGGCAAGCGUUGUCCGGAUUUACUGGGCGUAAAGGAUGCGUAGGUGGAUAUGCAAGUCAGAUGUGAAAUACCCGGGCUUAACUCGGGUGCUGCAUUUGAAACUAUAUAUCUAGAGUGCAGGAGAGGUAAGUGGAAUUCCUAGUGUAGCGGUGAAAUGCGUAGAGAUUAGGAAGAACACCAGUGGCGAAGGCGACUUACUGGACUGUAACUGACACUGAGGCAUGAAAGCGUGGGGAGCAAACAGG